RNAcentral lists this ribosomal RNA (497 nucleotides) under uncultured bacterium. RNAcentral describes it as "partial 16S ribosomal RNA". It matches the Rfam family "Bacterial small subunit ribosomal RNA", at positions 28 to 507 of the family's 1533-position model. The record is from RNAcentral.
GAUGAACGCUGGCGGCGUGCCUAAUACAUGCAAGUAGAACGCUGAAGGAAGGAGCUUGCUCUUUCCGGAUGAGUUGCGAACGGGUGAGUAACGCGUAGGUAACCUGCCUGGUAGCGGGGGAUAACUAUUGGAAACGAUAGCUAAUACCGCAUAACAGUAGAUGUUGCAUGAUAUCUACUUAAAAGGUGCAAUUGCACCACUACCAGCUGGACCUGCGUUGUAUUAGCUAGUUGGUGAGGUAACGGCUCACCAAGGCGACGAUACAUAGCCGACCUGAGAGGGUGAUCGGCCACACUGGGACUGAGACACGGCCCAGACUCCUACGGGAGGCAGCAGUAGGGAAUCUUCGGCAAUGGACGGAAGUCUGACCGAGCAACGCCGCGUGAGUGAAGAAGGUUUUCGAAUCGUAAAGCUCUGUUGUAAGAGAAGAACGAGUGUGAGAGUGGAAAGUUCACACUGUGACGGUAUCUUACCAGAAAGGGACGGCUAACUACGUG